GAUGAAGAACGCAGCGAAAUGCGAUAAGUAAUGUGAAUUGCAGAAUUCAGUGAAUCAUCGAAUCUUUGAACGCACAUUGCGCCCGCCAGUAUUCUGGCGGGCAUGCCUGUCCGAGCGUCAUUUCAACCAUCAAGCCCCGGGCUUGUGUUGGGGACCUGCGUCCGACGCAGGCCCUGAAAACCAGUGGCGGGCUCGCUGUCCACACCGAGCGUAGUAACUAACCUCGCUAUGGAGUGGCGCGGGCGCCUGCCGUAAAACCCCCAAUUUCACAAGGUUGACCUCGGAUCAGGUAGGAAUACCCGCUGAACUUAAGCAUAUCAAUAGCGGAGA
RNAcentral lists this unclassified non-coding RNA (330 nucleotides) under soil metagenome. RNAcentral describes it as "partial contains 5.8S ribosomal RNA, internal transcribed spacer 2, and large subunit ribosomal RNA". The stretch from base 1 to 120 matches the Rfam family "5.8S ribosomal RNA", at positions 35 to 154 of the family's 154-position model. The record is from RNAcentral.